AUGACAGUGCCUUUUGGCUUAGAUCAAGUGUAGUAUCUGUUCUUUUCAGUUUAAUCUCUGAAACGAGUCUACGGACUCAUUUAUCGAUUAUACUUAUUUUUG
Molecule: small nuclear RNA, 102 nt
Filed under: Coniosporium apollinis CBS 100218
Lineage: Eukaryota; Fungi; Ascomycota; Dothideomycetes
Description: U2 spliceosomal RNA
Rfam family: U2 spliceosomal RNA
About the family: U2 is a small nuclear RNA (snRNA) component of the spliceosome (involved in pre-mRNA splicing).
Source: Rfam by way of RNAcentral